RNAcentral lists this ribosomal RNA (126 nucleotides) under Methanobacteriota archaeon. RNAcentral's name for it is "Euryarchaeota archaeon partial 16S ribosomal RNA". It matches the Rfam family "Archaeal small subunit ribosomal RNA", at positions 1 to 128 of the family's 1478-position model. Lineage: Archaea; Methanobacteriati; Methanobacteriota. The record is from RNAcentral.
AAAUCUGGUUGAUCCUGCCAGAGGCGACCGCUUUUGGAGUUCGAUUAAGCCAUGCGAGUCGAGAGCCUUUGGGGCUCGGCAUACUGCUCAGUAACACGUGGAUAACCUGCCCUAUUGUCUGGAAUA